CCGCUGACUUAGCAUAUCAAUAAGCGGAGGAAGAACCAACAGGGAUUGCCCUAGUAACGGCGAGUGAAGCGGCAACAGCUCAAAUUUGAAAUCUGGCUCUUUUAGAGUCCGAGUUGUAAUUUGCAGAGGGCGCUUUGGCUUUGGCAGCGGUCCAAGUUCCUUGGAACAGGACGUCACAGAGGGUGAGAAUCCCGUACGUGGUCGCUGGCUAUUGCCGUGUAAAGCCCCUUCGACGAGUCGAGUUGUUUGGGAAUGCAGCUCUAAAUGGGAGGUACAUUUCUUCUAAAGCUAAAUAUUGGCCAGAGACCGAUAGCGCACAAGUAGAGUGAUCGAAAGAUGAAAAGCACUUUGGAAAGAGAGUCAAACAGCACGUGAAAUUGUUGAAAGGGAAGCGCUUGCAGCCAGACUUGCUUACAGUUGCUCAUCCGGGUUUCUACCCGGUGCACUCUUCUGUAGGCAGGCCAGCAUCAGUUUGGGCGGUAGGAUAAAGGUCUCUGUCACGUACCUCCUUUCGGGGAGGCCUUAUAGGGGAGACGACAUACUACCAGCCUGGACUGAGGUCCGCGCAUCUGCUAGGAUGCUGGCGUAAUGGCUGUAAGCGGCCCGUCUUGAAACACGGACCAAGGAGUCUAACAUCUAUGCGAGUGUUUGGGUGUCAAGCCCGAGCGCGUAAUGAAAGUGAACGGAGGUGGGAACCCGCAAGGGUGCACCAUCGACCGAUCCUGAUGUCUUCGGAAGGAUUUGAGUAAGAGCAUGGCUGUUGGGACCCGAAAGAUGGUGAACUAUGCUUGAAUAGGGUGAAGCCAGAGGAAACUCUGGUGGAGGCUCGCAGCGGUUCUGACGUGCAAAUCGAUCGUCAAAUUUGGGCAUAGGGGCGAAAGACUAAUCGAACUAUCUAGUAGCUGUCUGC
This 910-nucleotide ribosomal RNA is filed under the name Alternaria alternata. RNAcentral describes it as "eukaryotic LSU rRNA". It matches the Rfam family "Eukaryotic large subunit ribosomal RNA", at positions 25 to 958 of the family's 3401-position model. Lineage: Eukaryota; Fungi; Ascomycota; Dothideomycetes; Pleosporales; Pleosporaceae. The record is from RNAcentral.